Molecule: small RNA, 135 nt
Filed under: uncultured Ruminococcus sp.
Lineage: Bacteria; Bacillati; Bacillota; Clostridia; Eubacteriales; Oscillospiraceae
Description: Clostridiales-1 RNA
Rfam family: Clostridiales-1 RNA
Source: RNAcentral
GAUACCAGGGGCAAAAGGUUAUAAAACACGUUGUGCUUGCACAUAAGUGUUUUAUAACCUUUAUGACCCGCCCAAAUAUGAGGAUAAAAGUAGGACGACGCCCCACGAUAUCCGAAUUUGGGGCAGAAUUGUGGG